RNAcentral lists this ribosomal RNA (589 nucleotides) under uncultured bacterium. Its description in RNAcentral is "bacterial SSU rRNA". It matches the Rfam family "Bacterial small subunit ribosomal RNA", at positions 338 to 944 of the family's 1533-position model. The record is from RNAcentral.
CCUACGGGAGGCAGCAGUGGGGAAUAUUGGACAAUGGGCGAAAGCCUGAUCCAGCAAUGCCGCGUGAGUGAAGAAGGCCUUCGGGUUGUAAAGCUCUUUUACCCGGGAAGAUAAUGACCGUACCGGGAGAAUAAGCCCCGGCUAACUCCGUGCCAGCAGCCGCGGUAAUACGGAGGGGGCUAGCGUUGUUCGGAAUCACUGGGCGUAAAGCGUGCGUAGGCGGCCAUUCAAGUCAGAGGUGAAAGCCCAGGGCUCAACCCUGGAACUGCCUUUGAAACUAGGUGGCUGGAACACGGGAGAGGUGAGUGGAAUUCCGAGUGUAGAGGUGAAAUUCGUAGAUAUUCGGAAGAACACCAGUGGCGAAGGCGGCUCACUGGACCGUUGUUGACGCUGAGGCACGAAAGCGUGGGGAGCAAACAGGAUUAGAUACCCUGGUAGUCCACGCCGUAAACGAUGAUAACUAGCUGUUGGGGCUCUUUGAGCUCCAGUGGCGCAGCUAACGCAUUAAGUUAUCCGCCUGGGGAGUACGGCCGCAGGUUAAAACUCAAAUGAAUUGACGGCUGAGAGNGCGAGCGACGACGAGGAGUAG